CUUGGAGCAAAUGAGCAGUGGUGGAAAGGAGGAGUAGAGGGCCGAUACGUGAAAGUGAAAGGGAAAAGAGAAAAUUUUUUGACGUCUUGUUCGUUGAAAGGCUAAGAUAGGUCGCGGUUGGGUAAAGAAGAAUAGUUGAAAUCGCUAUGAAUCACGUCAUCAAGGAUGAAGAAGAAAGUGAGGAACCGCUAACAAACUUACCCUUGGAAGUUUA
Molecule: non-coding RNA, 214 nt
Organism: Carica papaya (papaya)
Lineage: Eukaryota; Viridiplantae; Streptophyta; Magnoliopsida; Brassicales; Caricaceae
Source: RefSeq, a predicted model, not a curated record